Beta vulgaris subsp. vulgaris (sugar beet) is the source of this 347-nucleotide non-coding RNA. NCBI's taxonomy places the organism in Eukaryota, Viridiplantae, Streptophyta, Magnoliopsida, Caryophyllales, Amaranthaceae. The record is from Rfam.
UACCUGGUUGAUCCUGCCAGUAGUCAUAUGCUUGUCUCAAAGAUUAAGCCAUGCAUGUCUAAGCACAGACCUUUACACGGUGAAGCUGCGAAUGGCUCAUUAGGCCACCCAUGAUUUAUUAGAUUGUACAAUCCUACUUGGAUAACUGUGGUAAUUCUAGAGCUAAUACAUGCAAGCAAGCUCCGACCCCGUCUUCACGGGCGGGGAAAGAGCGCGUUUAUUAGAUCAAAACCAAUCGGUACCUCGGUGCCGUACGUUUGGUGACUCUGGAUAACUUCGAGCUGAUCGCACGGCCUCGAGCCGGCGACGUAUCUUUCAAGUGUGUGCCCUAUCAACUGUCGAUGGUA